This 473-nucleotide ribosomal RNA is filed under the name uncultured bacterium. Its description in RNAcentral is "SSU rRNA". It matches the Rfam family "Bacterial small subunit ribosomal RNA", at positions 26 to 518 of the family's 1533-position model. The record is from RNAcentral.
AGAAUGAACGUUGGCGGCGUGGAUUAGGCAUGCAAGUCGCACGGGCCGCAAGGCCAGUGGCGCAAGGGUGAGUAAGGCGACGGCAAUCAACCCCGGGGUUGGGCAUAGCCGCGGGAAACUGCGGGUAAUUCCCAGCGACGUCGGAGAGAGGCAUCUCUCCCCGACCAAAGUUCCGGCGCCCCGGGACGGGCCGUCGUGGUAUUAGGUUGUUGGCGGGGUAACGGCCCACCAAGCCGACGAUGCCUACCGGGCGUGCGAGCGUGGCCCGGCACACUGGGACUGAGACACUGCCCAGACUCCUACGGGAGGCUGCAGUCGAGAAUCUUCGGCAAUGGGCGCAAGCCUGACCGAGCGACGCCGCGUGGAGGACGAAGGCCUUCGGGUUGUAAACUCCUGUCGAGGGGGAAGAGGGGUGUCACAGCCCUUGACUGAUCCCUGGAGGAAGCACGGGCUAAGUUCGCGCCAGCAGCCGC